UAUAAAGGAAAAUCUCGGGAUGCUGACGUGGCGGCUUCCAAGACUCCCAUUCUAUUUUCCCUCGGUUCCUAGGCCUCGCUGUUUGUUGAUAAGUGUUAGGAAAUCUUGAACUUCUGGACAGAAAUUGAAAGUCUCAACAUUAAUUACUGAAGUUUAUUACUUUCAGUUGAGUAUUCAUAAAGGCCGCAACUGAAAAAAUUUAAGUUCAAGUUCUCAUCUCAAAAUCUCAAAACUGACAAUCAUCGAAACUCUCCGCCAUGGCACCCCGACCUUCUUUGGAUCGGAACAAUUCUGUACGGCUUCGUUGUCUCUCGCUCUUUUGAAAAUCAAGCUAAUCAAGAAAAUUCCAGCGGCGUCCCUGGACAUCCACUCCUCCAAUCUUGUAGGUGCCAUUUCUUCCAAAAUCAAACCCAAAUUCUUUUUCCCUCAUUGUUCUGGUCAAUUAUGUUUAUUAUUGUCAGGGGUUUGAUUAAUUUUUGUGUUUACUUUAUAAUUUGAUUUGGCGGUGUGUGAAACUUACCUUUUUUUAUCUUGAUGUUAGAGGCUUUGUUUAAAUUGAUCAAACUGAUUGAUUUGCUUUGUGAUUGGUUGAAUUUUUAGUUGAUGGGCGAUUAGCCCAGGCCAUAUCUAGACUCUUUGUGCUGAAGAAUCAGUGAUAUGCUCCGAAGUUUGUGGCUUGAUCUAAUGUUGUUGAGCUACUCGAUCUCGGAUCUCAAUCGAGUACUUCUUGAUCGAUCUUGACAAACACAAUUUUUGUCCCCUGCUAUAAUGCAUGUUGUGCCUUGUACCGGUUUUUAAUUCGAUAUCGGAUUUGACAGGUUGAGCAGGUGAUCAAGGAGAAGAAUAUGGUGGAUGUCUUUGUUAGAGUAGAAGGUUAAUGUCAUUUAUUUGUGGAGAGGCUGAUCUUCUAGACAAAGAAAAGAUGUUCAGAAUAGUUAAAGGAGGUGGUAUCAAGCUUGAUUUUUCUUCUACAAGAUGCGGAGAGUUUCCAGGAUUUCAACAGAUGCGCACAAUGUUCACAUCAUAUUUUUGGAAGGAAUUUGUGGCUCGUGGUGCUGAAUUACGCUACAAUUGUAAAGCCAAUACUAAGAUGGUCGUAAAGCUGUCAACUAGAGUAGGAUGAAGGUCCUUAGAGUAAUUGCUUGCUUCGGAGAAUGGCAUUAGUUUACAAAUUAAAGAGGAGUCCUCCAUGACAAUAGAGAACUGCACACCCUCGUAGGGAAGGAAUUUGUCUUCAAACUGACACUUAACAAGUACAAUUGAGUUGAUGGCUGCGAGGACUAUGGAGUUUCUACGGUAUAUGUACCCGUGCAACAUCUUGAAUCUCCUUAUGCGAGGAAAAAUAAGCCAUAGGCUGCCUUCGAUCAGGCGGAGUCUUCAGCAUCUGCUGGCAAAGUGGAAGCAGAUACUGGCAGCGGCAAGAGAAAGCGGUCACCCGUUCUUCACGCUGUUGUUGAGAGCCAAAAUGCGGCACCUUGAUGUAUGGGUGACUGCUUGCUGUACCAUAACUUCAUGCAAGAUGCUAUAUUACUGUUCGCUUCUGACGUUAUGUUUUUAAGACACAUUAUAUGUUUGGUGUUUUGUAUUUUUUCAGUUGAAUGCAAUGAACAACUCCUUUUAUCUGUUA
Long non-coding RNA from Daucus carota subsp. sativus, 1627 nucleotides. RefSeq lists it as uncharacterized. The transcript is spliced from 5 exons. Lineage: Eukaryota; Viridiplantae; Streptophyta; Magnoliopsida; Apiales; Apiaceae. The record is from RefSeq and is a predicted model, not a curated record.